RNAcentral lists this unclassified non-coding RNA (374 nucleotides) under soil metagenome. Its description in RNAcentral is "partial contains internal transcribed spacer 2 and large subunit ribosomal RNA". The stretch from base 1 to 120 matches the Rfam family "5.8S ribosomal RNA", at positions 35 to 154 of the family's 154-position model. The record is from RNAcentral.
GAUGUAGAACGCAGCGAAAUGCGAUAAUUAAUGUGAAUUGCAGAAUUCCGUGAAUCAUCGAGUCUUUGAACGCACAUUGCGCCUCAUGGCAUUCCGUGAGGCAUGCCCAUCUCAGCGUUAGAAAAUAUUCUCAAAUUUUAGUUUUGUGCUAAAAUUUGGAUCAUGUCAAGGAAGCUAUUACUAUUAUUGUGAUCGCUCUUUGGAAAUUGAUAGGUCUUUGAGUUGCUACUCAUAGAACGUGAUGAAUCUUUCUUCGUUCUAUUGUAAUUCACUCUGGUAGUCCUAAAACUUGUAUGCCUGUGGCAUAUCUUGUAAUUUGACCUGAGAUUGGGUAGGGAUACCCGCUGAACUUAAGCAUAUCAAUAAGCGGAGGA